This 1839-nucleotide long non-coding RNA is filed under the name Homo sapiens (human). RNAcentral's name for it is "novel transcript". Lineage: Eukaryota; Metazoa; Chordata; Mammalia; Primates; Hominidae. The record is from RNAcentral.
UUCACCUUUCACCAUGAUUGUGAGGCCUCCCAGCCAUGUGGAACUCUGCAAAGAGGAUGUUCAAAGGGCAUCUUGGACCAGGAGGAGGAAGCCCAUUGUGAGGAUGGCAAAGAACAAUAAAUGGAAGGCCCGUGGAACCCUGAGCGGCUGCCCCAUCACUGUCCUCUCCAUCCUUUCCAUGCUUCCCAUGGUGCAUGGCUCUCAGGCUCUCCAAGCACCAUGAGCUCCUGGCGCGUAUGGCCUGGCCCCUGAGUGUGGAGUCUGUGGACUUUAAAUGUGCCUUUACUCAGCCAGCAUCUCCCUGGCUGGGUGCGAUGUUGCGUGGUGUGAUUCCUGACUGCGAUCCUGAGGGUGAAACUCUCUUCUGCUUGCUUCUGCCUUGGCCCUUGGGUCUUCUGUCCCACCUUUCCUGCCAUCCCCUGGUGGUGACAUUAGUGGAUCCCAUGUGAGAAAAGUGUCCAUCAAGAAAGUCAGAGGAAGAAGAAGUCUUUUUUUUUUUUUUUUAGAGAGGGAGUCUCACUCUGUUGCCCAGGCUGGAGUGCAGUGGCACAAUCUCGGCUCACUGCAACCUCCACCUCCGGGAUCAAGCUAUUCUCCUGCCUCAGUGUUCUGAGUAAUCUGGGAUUACAGGCAUGUACCACCAUGCGUAGCUAAUUUUUAUAUUUUUAGUAGAGACAGGGUUUCACCACAUUGGCCAGGCUGUAUUGAACUCCUGACCUCACGUGAUCUUCCCGUCUCAGCCUUAUAAAAUGCUGGGAUUAGAGGCGUGAGCCACUGUGCCUGGCCAAAGAAGAAAUCUUAGAAACUGUUUAGUUCAGGUCUUUCCAAGAAACCUUGUGUGGGUUUUACAACUGUGUCCCAAGAGCAACUACAGAGUGAAGGGGAGAGAGACGUGGAGAACAGGCCUCCAGCAUCCAGCCAAGGGGAGUGGCAGGCACACUGGGAUUUGGUGUAUAUGUUGGGCUUUGGGAAAUGUGUUAUUUCUUUUUCUUUUCUGAAGAAAGCCUUCCAUAGUCCAAAAGUCUCAAAACCACCAAAAUCUAUUCAUUUCAUUUUACAAAUGAGGAAAAUGGGUCUGGGAGAGGUUGACAGGCUCUCAAAAUCACAAUGGUAGAACAUGGCAGGGCCAGAUCCAGGUACCUCAUCUAUUGAUUUUGGGGGCUUCGUCCCACAAGGCCAACAUCCUACCACAUGUUCAUCUGAAUGAAACCCUCCCAGGCCAAAGAGAAUAUAUGAGCUAUGGCUCUAGAAAGACAGCACCAUAAAGCCUGCCGUAGCCUGGAGAAGAAAAUCAUAGAAAUGGACUUCCCGUCACUUUCAUCUACUGUGACCUACACCAACUGUGAAAAUAACAUGAAGAGGAGAGCCAUAGUUUUUGUUCAGUCACACACUCACGAUGUAUGCACAUGUUUCUGGAACACAACCAAAAUGUCAAAAUGCCGUUGAGAAUUGCACCUCACUAACUAACGUGGGCUUUGAAAUUUUAGAAAUUACUUAUGCCAGGCAGUGGUUAGUAAUGCUAGAAUGUUCGCUAGGUUGGUCGAGUUCUAACAAUCUCCCAACAGCAAAUAUUAACUUCAUUAAUUUAGCUCAUUUGAUGUAAUUACUAUUGGUUUUUAGUGUAAGGCAUAAUCUCAAAUCAAUAGAAACUUCAUCGGUUUUGCUCGAACGCGGGACCCUCCUUUAUGACCACGAUUACCUUUGGUGAUGGAAUUUAUGAUUCAGAUACAAAGACCCUCUAACAAAUUUGACUAAAGUGCUUUGGUCCUGAAAUGUCAUCAGUGUAUGAAAAUCGUUAUCCUGUUUUUAUUUCUCCUGAAAGUAUAAUAAUUAUUACUC